CGUAGGGGGCGAACGUUGUCCGGAUUUACUGGGUGUAAAGGGUGCUCAGGUGGUUUUGUAAGUCAGAGGUGAAAUUUCGGGGCUCAACCCCGGACCUGCCUUUGAUACUGCAAGGCUUGUGUACGGAAGAGGCUGAUGGAAUUUCCGGUGUAGCAGUGAAAUGCGUAGAUAUCAGAAAGAACACCAGUGGCGAAGGCGGUCAGCUGGUCCGGUACAGACACUAAAGCACGAAAGCAUGGGGAGCAAACAGGAUUAGAUACCCUGGUAGUCCAUGCCCUAAACGAUGAAUACUAGACGUUGGGUGUAAAAACUCAGUGUCGCAGCUAACGCAUUAAGUAUUCCACCUGGGGAGUACGAUCGCAAGGUUG
Molecule: ribosomal RNA, 368 nt
Filed under: uncultured organism
Description: bacterial SSU rRNA
Rfam family: Bacterial small subunit ribosomal RNA
Source: RNAcentral